CCGCAUAUUCCCCUCACGCGAGCGAACGACCAGGCCUCCUUCCCGAGCGCGACAGCUAGGGUUCCAAGCCGCCGCCGGCCCGCCCGCGGCGCGUCCAGCUGGCCGAAGCCUCCGCCGCCCCGCCGCCCAGCCGCCGGUACCGGAGCUCCCGCCCAGCAAGGCCGCCGUCCUGGAGCUACGCUGCCUUCCAGUCCAUAGGCAGUGCAUCAACAUUCUCAAUUGAAGAGGUUUGGAGCUGCUUCGGCAUCCUCAGGAGAACAAACAAGAAGUUGCUACUCCACCGUCGCAGGAAGGGGCAGACCUCACCUGGAUUCGUACAGCCUGGAUUAAGCAGGACCAGUUCAUUAUCGGUUUAUACAGAAAAUUCUGAUUGUAGAAGACAAUAAUGAGCUGCCGCCGCUUUGUUAAUAUGGUUGUUGACACCGUCAUUGGUGACCGCCAUGCCUACGCUCUUCACUGCAUCAAUAUGUCGGGCUUAUUUUACCCAACCAAGCCAACAACAACACAGCUAGGAGGAGCAGAUGCAAAAGAUGGUAAUACGGUUGAGUCCAGUGAGCUGCCUCGCCCUGCCAUGUCCUUCUACCCCUGCCGAAAUAACGGGGCUCCGGUCGGGAGUGUGGAAUUCAUGCCCGUCAGCAGAGACAAGAACGACAUCCUCACCAUCGACCAGGAUGGCCGAACCUUGAUGUACAGUGUUGCCUCACGUGCCUUCCACAUCCUACCGCCACUGCAGACACCCAUAUGGGAGCCUACCUCCGUGAUCGCUGGUGGCAAGCUCUAUGUGAUGAAAAGCUCCCCCUUCCCCACCACCUCCCACUGCUUUGAGGCUCUCAUCUAUGGCCACCACCCUGGAAUCGACUAUCUCCCAGAGUGCUGGUACUGGCGUUCUCUCCCACCGCCUCCCUUCAGGAACAGCAACCAUCGUCUCGAUGACAACCAAUUUAUUGGUGGAGGCUAUGCAGAUGAGGAUGGCGACCUAUCUAGAGUCACUGCCUACACGGUUGUGAAUGAUUUAGAUAUCUGGGUGUCACAGGGUGGAACGACCUACUCCUUUGACACGGUGAGCAGUGCAUGGACCAGUUUUGGAGAGUGGACGCUGCCAUUCCGAGGCCAUGCUGAGUACAUCCCGGAGAACAAGCUCUGGUUUGGCUUGUCAUCUGAUGGGGACUUGCUUUGCACCUCUGACCUCAGUAGCACGUCAAGGCCUCCUCAGCUGCACAAUCUGUGGAAGGAGCUAGCGCCACCUAAGGAAUGGUUCCUUCACAACUCCUACCUUGUGCACUUAGGCUCUGGCAAGUUUUGCAUCGCCAAGUUCUUUGAGACAGGUCGGAUAUCCAACACUCAGUACAAUGAGAGGUUCGCAGUGCUCACCGGCGUGGAGGUGAAGCGCUGUGGCAAGCAUGGAACAGAGCUCCGGAUGGUCAAGCACGGGUCCAGGCGCUAUAGCCUGAACAAACAAUCUUACUUCCGGGUAUUCUAGCUGAAUGGUGAAUUAGAGGUGGAACGCGGCAACAAUGUUUGGCAGAUAGAUGGCUCUACAGCCUGAACUACCAAUAUUUCUUUCAGGUAUCAACAAUAAAUCAGUCGAGCUGGAGAGGGAACAUUUCUCAGGUAUAUUACAUUAUAUGUUAUAUCAAUGGUAUAUGUUCUGAGUCGUUGCUAGUACGAAUUGCUUGGAUCGAACCUUGUAUCCUGUAGUUUCUGUGCUACUCUUCAGUUCGGUGUGCACAAUCUGAUCGCUUGUAACUGAAGGUUGUUAAUGUAUAAAGUGAUCAAUUUCGGAUUUGACAACUUUCUCUUUACCACUGUUUCAAGAAACGCUUCUCGUUUUUGGCCAUGAUGAUAGUGUUAUUAUUUUUGGACUGGGAUG
This 1870-nucleotide ribosomal RNA is filed under the name Triticum aestivum (bread wheat). Its description in RNAcentral is "partial small subunit ribosomal RNA". Lineage: Eukaryota; Viridiplantae; Streptophyta; Magnoliopsida; Poales; Poaceae. The record is from RNAcentral.